This 81-nucleotide transfer RNA is filed under the name Cordylochernes scorpioides. Its description in RNAcentral is "tRNA-Thr". The record is from RNAcentral. Lineage: Eukaryota; Metazoa; Arthropoda; Arachnida; Pseudoscorpiones; Chernetidae.
UUCCAGGGAUGGAGGGAUGGGAAACGAACCCACAGUAUUCCGCUUACCGGGCAGAUGCCAUGUCCACUAGGCUACCCUAGA